RNAcentral lists this microRNA precursor (67 nucleotides) under Mus pahari (shrew mouse). RNAcentral's name for it is "microRNA 7677 (MGP_PahariEiJ_G0007235.1)". The record is from RNAcentral. Lineage: Eukaryota; Metazoa; Chordata; Mammalia; Rodentia; Muridae.
AGUGGUGAGCAGAGAGCAGCCGCGGUGUGCGGCACCCUCGUUUACCCGCUGUGUCCUCUCGCCUAGG